This 1404-nucleotide ribosomal RNA is filed under the name Triticum aestivum (bread wheat). Its description in RNAcentral is "partial small subunit ribosomal RNA". Lineage: Eukaryota; Viridiplantae; Streptophyta; Magnoliopsida; Poales; Poaceae. The record is from RNAcentral.
AUGGCGGACGAGAAGCUCGCCAAGCUGCGCGAGGCCGUCGCCGGCCUCGGCCAGAUCAGCGACAAGGAGAAGUCCGGGUUCAUCAGCCUCGUCUCCCGCUACCUCAGCGGCAACGAGGAGCAAAUCGAGUGGGGCAAGAUCCACACGCCGACCGACGAGGUGGUGGUGCCAUACGACACCCUAGCGGCCCCGCCGGAAGACCUGGCGGCGACCAAGGCGCUGCUCGACAAGCUCGCCGUGCUCAAGCUCAACGGCGGCCUGGGGACCACCAUGGGGUGCACAGGCCCAAAGUCGGUCAUCGAGGUGCGAAACGGGUUCACCUUCCUCGACCUGAUCGUGGUCCAGAUCGAGUCCCUGAACAAGAAGUAUGGCAGCAACGUGCCGCUGCUCCUGAUGAACUCCUUCAACACCCAUGACGACACCUUGAAGAUUGUCGAGAAAUACGCCAAUUCAAACAUCCAAAUCCAUACGUUCAACCAGAGCCAGUAUCCUCGUGUCGUGGCCGACGAGUUCUUGCCGUGGCCUUCCAAGGGGAAGACUGACAAGGAUGGCUGGUACCCUCCUGGCCAUGGUGACAUCUUCCCAUCCCUGAUGAACAGCGGCAAGCUCGAUUUACUACUCUCACAGGGAAAAGAAUACGUUUUCAUCGCAAACUCAGAUAACUUGGGCGCUAUCGUUGACAUGAAGAUACUGAACCACUUGAUCCACAAGCAGAAUGAAUACUGCAUGGAGGUUACCCCGAAAACUUUGGCCGAUGUGAAAGGUGGCACACUGAUCUCAUAUGAAGGGAGGGUUCAGCUUCUGGAGAUUGCACAGGUUCCUGAUGCACAUGUCAAUGAGUUCAAGUCAAUUGAGAAAUUCAAGAUCUUCAACACCAACAAUCUAUGGGUGAGCUUGAAGGCUAUCAAACGCCUUGUCGAGGCUGAUGCACUCAAGAUGGAGAUCAUUCCAAACCCGAAGGAAGUUGAGGGCGUGAAAGUCCUUCAGUUGGAAACUGCAGCUGGAGCCGCGAUCAGGUUCUUUGACCACGCAAUCGGCAUGAAUGUUCCGAGGUCCCGGUUCCUACCGGUGAAGGCAACAUCAGACUUGCAGCUAGUACAGUCUGAUCUGUAUACCCUGGUUGAUGGCUUCGUUACACGUAAUGCAGCUAGAACAAAUCCAUCAAAUCCCUCAAUUGAACUUGGCCCUGAGUUCAAGAAGGUUGGGUGCUUCCUUGGCCGCUUCAAGUCGAUUCCUAGCAUUGUUGAGCUCGACAGCUUGAAGGUUUCCGGUGAUGUUUGGUUUGGUUCUGGCAUCGUGCUGAAGGGUAAGGUGACCAUCACAGCAAAACCUGGUGUUAAGCUGGAAAUCCCAGAUGGAAAAGUGAUUGAGAACAAGGACAUCAACGGCCCUGAGGACCUUUAA